GACGAACGCUGGCGGCGUGCCUAAUACAUGCAAGUUGAGCGCCGAAGGUUGGUACUUGUACCAACUGGAUGAGCAGCGAACGGGUGAGUAACGCGUGGGGAAUCUGCCUUUGAGCGGGGGACAACAUUUGGAAACGAAUGCUAAUACCGCAUAAAAACUUUAAACACAAGUUUUAAGUUUGAAAGAUGCAAUUGCAUCACUCAAAGAUGAUCCCGCGUUGUAUUAGCUAGUUGGUGAGGUAAAGGCUCACCAAGGCGAUGAUACAUAGCCGACCUGAGAGGGUGAUCGGCCACAUUGGGACUGAGACACGGCCCAAACUCCUACGGGAGGCAGCAGUAGGGAAUCUUCGGCAAUGGACGAAAGUCUGACCGAGCAACGCCGCGUGAGUGAAGAAGGUUUUCGGAUCGUAAAACUCUGUUGGUAGAGAAGAACGUUGGUGAGAGUGGAAAGCUCAUCAAGUGACGGUAACUACCCAGAAAGGGACGGCUAACUACGU
RNAcentral lists this ribosomal RNA (496 nucleotides) under uncultured bacterium. RNAcentral's name for it is "partial 16S ribosomal RNA". It matches the Rfam family "Bacterial small subunit ribosomal RNA", at positions 28 to 506 of the family's 1533-position model. The record is from RNAcentral.